This 253-nucleotide ribosomal RNA is filed under the name uncultured bacterium. Its description in RNAcentral is "partial 16S ribosomal RNA". It matches the Rfam family "Bacterial small subunit ribosomal RNA", at positions 524 to 776 of the family's 1533-position model. The record is from RNAcentral.
GACGAACCGUGCGAACGUUAUUCGGAAUCACUGGGCGUAAAGCGCACGUAGGCGGAUUGUUAAGUCAGGGGUGAAAUCCUGGAGCUCAACUCCAGAACUGCCUUUGAUACUGGCGAUCUCGAGUCCGGGAGAGGUGAGUGGAACUGCGAGUGUAGAGGUGAAAUUCGUAGAUAUUCGCAAGAACACCAGUGGCGAAGGCGGCUCACUGGCCCGGUACUGACGCUGAGGUGCGAAAGCGUGGGGAGCAAACAGG